AAAGCAUAGAUGAUGAGCAAGAAGAGAGAGAGAGAAUAAGAAUGGAUGCGAAAGGAAUGGAAGAGGAAGAAGAAAGGAGAGAGAAGGUAAAAGAGGAGUGAUAGUGUAGAUUGGGGAAUAACAUAACAUAACAAACAGAAAGGAAGCGAGUCAUAUUGCAUAUAUAUCGUGUUACUAUUCUCUACUAUAUAUAUAUAUACACUGCCCUGCCAUUCCAAUUUCAAACUUCGAAACCAAUCUAACCUCAAGACACGUCCUUAAUUCUACGACACACAUUGACCACUCCUCCCCAUGCCAAUCAAGAAUGCCCAGGAGUCUUAUUUCGUGAAAACUUUCAUAUUUUCAGUUUUCUUGAGUAUAAUAUCAUUUUUUUCGUGAUUUUGUUUCUUUUGUUUUUCCAGUUUUAUUGUAAUGUUUGUU
RNAcentral lists this long non-coding RNA (420 nucleotides) under Cicer arietinum (chickpea). RNAcentral's name for it is "long non-coding RNA (CARI_LNC001041)". The record is from RNAcentral. Lineage: Eukaryota; Viridiplantae; Streptophyta; Magnoliopsida; Fabales; Fabaceae.